UGCGCGGAAGAUGUAACGGGGCUAAACCAUGCACCGAAGCUGCGGCAGCGACACUAUGUGUUGUUGGGUAGGGGAGCGUUCUGUAAGCCUGCGAAGGUGUGCUGUGAGGCAUGCUGGAGGUAUCAGAAGUGCGAAUGCUGACAUAAGUAACGAUAAAGCGGGUGAAAAGCCCGCUCGCCGGAAGACCAAGGGUUCCUGUCCAACGUUAAUCGGGGCAGGGUGAGUCGACCCCUAAGGCGAGGCCGAAAGGCGUAGUCGAUGGGAAACAGGUUAAUAUUCCUGUACUUGGUGUUACUGCGAAGGGGGGACGGAGAAGGCUAUGUUAGCCGGGCGACGGUUGUCCCGGUUUAAGCAUGUAGGCUGAUUGUCCAGGCAAAUCCGGAUAAUCAAGGCUGAGGUGUGAUGACGAGGCACUACGGUGCUGAAGUAACAAAUGCCCUGCUUCCAGGAAAAGCCUCUAAGCAUCAGGUAACAUCAAAUCGUACCCCAAACCGACACAGGUGGUCAGGUAGAGAAUACCAAGGCGCUUGAGAGAACUCGGGUGAAGGAACUAGGCAAAAUGGUGCCGUAACUUCGGGAGAAGGCACGCUGGUGUGUAGGUGAAGUCCCUGCGGAUGGAGCUGAGACCAGUCGAAGAUACCAGCUGGCUGCAACUGUUUAUUAAAAACACAGCACUGUGCAAACACGAAAGUGGACGUAUACGGUGUGACGCCUGCCCGGUGCCGGAAGGUUAAUUGAUGGGGUUAUCCGUAAGGAGAAGCUCUUGAUCGAAGCCCCGGUAAACGGCGGCCGUAACUAUAACGGUCCUAAGGUAGCGAAAUUCCUUGUCGGGUAAGUUCCGACCUGCACGAAUGGCGUAAUGAUGGCCAGGCUGUCUCCACCCGAGACUCAGUGAAAUUGAACUCGCUGUGAAGAUGCAGUGUACCCGCGGCAAGACGGAAAGACCCCGUGAACCUUUACUAUAGCUUGACACUGAACAUUGAGCCUUGAUGUGUAGGAUAGGUGGGAGGCUUUGAAGCGUGGACGCCAGUCUGCGUGGAGCCAACCUUGAAAUACCACCCUUUAAUGUUUGAUGUUCUAACGUUGGCCCCUGACCGGGGUUGCGGACAGUGUCUGGUGGGUAGUUUGACUGGGGCGGUCUCCUCCCAAAGCGUAACGGAGGAGCACGAAGGUUAGCUAAUCCUGGUCGGACAUCAGGAGGUUAGUGCAAUGGCAUAAGCUAGCUUGACUGCGAGCGUGACGGCGCGAGCAGGUGCGAAAGCAGGUCAUAGUGAUCCGGUGGUUCUGAAUGGAAGGGCCAUCGCUCAACGGAUAAAAGGUACUCCGGGGAUAACAGGCUGAUACCGCCCAAGAGUUCAUAUCGACGGCGGUGUUUGGCACCUCGAUGUCGGCUCAUCACAUCCUGGGGCUGAAGUAGGUCCCAAGGGUAUGGCUGUUCGCCAUUUAAAGUGGUACGCGAGCUGGGUUUAGAACGUCGUGAGACAGUUCGGUCCCUAUCUGCCGUGGGCGCUGGAGAAUUGAGGGGGGCUGCUCCUAGUACGAGAGGACCGGAGUGGACGCAUCACUGGUGUUCGGGUUGUCAUGCCAAUGGCA
This 1593-nucleotide ribosomal RNA is filed under the name Klebsiella pneumoniae. RNAcentral describes it as "bacterial LSU rRNA". It matches the Rfam family "Bacterial large subunit ribosomal RNA", at positions 1160 to 2737 of the family's 2925-position model. Lineage: Bacteria; Pseudomonadati; Pseudomonadota; Gammaproteobacteria; Enterobacterales; Enterobacteriaceae. The record is from RNAcentral.